UGGUAACAGGGAGGAAGGGGGGGAUGAUGUCAGGUCAGUAUUUCCCUUACAUCUGGGGCUACAAACACGCUACAAUGGCCGGUACAAAGGGCAGCCAAGUCGCAAGACGGAGCAAAUCCCAUCAAAGCCGGUCUCAGUUCGGAUUGCAGGCUGAAACUCGCCUGCAUGAAGCUGGAAUCGCUAGUAACGGUAGGUCAGCUAUACUACCGUGAAUACGUUCCCGGGUCUUGUACACACCGCCCGUCAAACCAUGAAAGUCGCCAA
RNAcentral lists this ribosomal RNA (264 nucleotides) under uncultured bacterium. RNAcentral describes it as "partial 16S rRNA". It matches the Rfam family "Bacterial small subunit ribosomal RNA", at positions 1155 to 1417 of the family's 1533-position model. The record is from RNAcentral.